Ostrea edulis (European flat oyster) is the source of this 3252-nucleotide long non-coding RNA. RefSeq lists it as uncharacterized. The transcript is spliced from 2 exons. The record is from RefSeq and is a predicted model, not a curated record. Lineage: Eukaryota; Metazoa; Mollusca; Bivalvia; Ostreida; Ostreidae.
UCUGCGUCGAAAGUUCUUUGGAGGUCUGAUUAUAAAAAAGAAACUUCAAUCAAUUUACAACGUCGGACUAAAACGUUAACAAGCUAAACAGAGGAAAUGAGUGUUCCCUUUUCAGACGUCGUAGCCUUUCUAAAAACCGAUGUUUAACAAAGGAGAACAUGCGUAAACCUACAGCCUUCAACAAAGACUCAUUGAAUCAUGUCACUAAUCCCCAUACAGAAUAGAUACCCCGGGACUCACCGAACGAUGUGUCCUGUUCUGUUCUUCCGUACCCCUCCAACUAUUAGGUCUUCGUCCCAGUGCAUAUACUUAGUGGAGAUGCCGGAACACCCGCCUGUCAAGGCGGCACCUAUAUCUGGGGCCUGGUGGAAAUUGCAUAAUAAAUUAUACCUACAUAUCUAGUCUGCGAAGUAGGUACAAAAAAGACCCGUAGAAAACCACGUGUCACCAAUUAUCGUGAAUAUCUUCAUAAUGAAGCAGAGGAAAAUAAAUCUGGUUACGUAAAUCAUUUAAGGAUACGGGGAAACAUGGUAUUUAAUUAAAGGGAUAGCUCUACAAUACGUACAGCUCUGGAGGCUUUGUUUGGCGCUGAUCGGGGACACUCAGAUUCAUAAGGAUCAAGGCAAGGUUUAUCCAGAUAUCCUCGAGAUAUUCCAGACUGGAAUAACAAGAAGGGGAGAUUAAUGCUUAUUCCAAUUUCAUCCGAAGACGAUUUUUUUUUUAAACAGAUACAUGAACUGAUCUACAGGAAGUUAGAGACACGAACACGUACCCUGUUCAUGAGCUCCUCUAUGUCCUUCACGUCGGAGAAUGUGGGGUAUUUCUGUCCGUAGGCUUGAAUAAAACCCAAUGGAUCCAAGUUUGUCCACUUUAUUGGCAAACCUCUACAACGACACAGAACCGUGAAUAGUGAAAAUCUAUCCAGAGAUUGGACCAAAUAAAAAGGAAGUUGAUUUGGAAAAUUUUUCGAUGACUUACAUAUCUACGUAGACGGUGUGGUCGGGUCCUAGAAGUUUCGCACCGUCCCAGAAGCAGUCCAGAGGGGUGAUAAUUACACAGGGAAGUAACUGUUCUAUUAUCUAUCAAACGGAAAAAAAUAGGAGAUGUUAAACUGAAAAUUAAACGGGUGGAAUAAUGAGGAUAAUUUACAUUGGUCUGAAACUUACAUUGUCAAUGUAGCUUCCCUCCGUCUUAGGAAAUUCGGGAAGGUAGCAGAUAUCAUGAAAUUUCCACGUCCUGGAACACAACCAUGGAUUUCAACAUUAUCAUAUUCCCAAUUGAUUUUAACUAGUUCUAGUAUUUUAAUGUAAAUUUUUGAUGAACUUGCAAUAAAUGAGGACAUUCGGAAAAUGCAAUUCACUCACACUUCAAACAUGUCAACGGAGAUUUCGGUGACUUUCCGGAGGGUGUCUAGAUGGAACUGCAAAGAGGGAACGGUGAGGAUGUUGGAGCCAACCUUUGGGGUCUGGAUGACCAGCUGACUUGUCGUUCCCCGUCCCUCUCCGAUCGUGGAUCGUGUGUAUUCCAACUCUUUUUCCAGUCUACCGCCCUCUGCAACAAAUGCGAUCAUGAUAUUCUCACCUUUUUGGAAGUUUAGAAUAUAUAUGUUAUGUGUACAGAUAUGAAUUUUUUUUUAAUUUAGUUAGGCUGCAAACUGUGAGUUAGACUAUGUUUUAUAUGUGUAUAUAAUAUUUACGUGACAAUUCGCUUAUUCCAGUUGAGUUGUUUGUGGGACGUACACGACUGUUUGAUUAUAAUGAAAAAUCACAAAAAUUAAAGAAAGGUUAGGCUUUGGGGGGUGAGGGGGGGUUUUUGUGUCCAGUAUCCUAAAUGUCGCCCGACAGUUUAAUCAUUUGUGUUGUAUUCAAAUAGAAUCAUAUAUCGCUUGAUUACUGUGGAUAAGUUUCUUGGGUUUUUCGUUUUGUGCUUCGUUUUAGAUAAGUUUUAGUGUGCCAGCCUUUGUAAUUCAUUGCAUUUUACAGGGGCCACUUUACAGAUUACAUCUUGUCAUGUUUAGUGCAGUUGUUGUUUUAAUCGUUAAAAACGAAGAAAACUUCAUUCUGAUGCAUUUGUCAUUACAUCAGCCCAGCUCUUCAAACUAGAAAACACGCUUAUAGUUCUUAACAGAAAUGUAUUUAAUGUCAGUGGGGGUUUCUUAUCGGAAUUAUAAAGCGAUUCAGAUAUAUAAAAUGCAGUAAGUCAGGAUUGAAGGUUAUAGGAUUAGAUCACACUUGUCAGGUGAUUAAUAACGAGAAACCACCUAGAAGUUUCCUCUAUAGGGAAGGAAUAGCAUUCAGUACCGUGGCGCUAUCGCCGAUCUGCGGUAGGUCCAAAAACCCGUCAGUCAAAUUUAUUCGUGUUAAACACCUUGUGAAUUAUCAAUUGUAUGUCACAAUUUUAAGAGUAAAAAAAAUAAAUAAAUAAAAAUGAGGAAUUCCUCUUUCGGUGACUGGCAAUGUGUUCGGUGUUGGGUGAAAGUACAUUUUGAAAAUAGAUGCUUCCCGACAUUUACAUUUAAUACGAGUCUUAUCUCGGCUUCACGUAAUACAGAAGUUGGUAUUUUGUUUUUUCAUUGCAUUCAUUGUCGACUGUCAACACUGUAAAUAACUUGCGUGUGUUCUCCGUUCUCAGUUAGGCUAGCAGUACAUCGUCAUUAUCUCCAGGUUUUCUGACUUCGUCCUUAUGACGUUUGUAGUGGGAACGUUUUCAAUACAACUUUAAAUUUCACAUAAAACUUUCAAACAUUUUGUUUUUAUUGCCUUUCCGAUAUUCAUGAAAUUUAUGUCUCUGAUUUCUGAAUUGCAUUUAUGGUGCAGUAAAGUAAUAGCCGUAGUUUGAAUUUGUAUUUUUUUUUUUAAAAAUAUUUUAAUCAUGACAUACCAUGGUCUUAUUAUAAUUGGAAAAUGAAGGUAUUUUAUACUUUAAUUAGAUUAAUAGAGAUUCUCACUACGGCUCUGAUAAAUGUUGUUUGCUAUUAGAUUGUGUAAUUUUUAGUUACUGGGUUAUCGUAGACGAUAUUGUCAGGGAUAUUUGUUAAAUACUUACAUCGCAUUUUUUUUUUUAAUUUAGUGUUUGUUUCUUUACGUACGAUGUUGGUUUUAUUAUUCUUAUUUAUUCGGUGGAUUUUUUAUUAUUUUAACUUUAAUUAUACCAAUUCAUAAUCUGCAGCAUGACGAAGCUAUGAACAAGUGGUACAGUUUCAUGCAUUGUAUUUUACGCUCAUGAACAAAUAAAAGUUUUUUCAACAAUCUC